This 256-nucleotide long non-coding RNA is filed under the name Carica papaya (papaya). Its description in RNAcentral is "long non-coding RNA (CPAP_LNC003457)". The record is from RNAcentral. Lineage: Eukaryota; Viridiplantae; Streptophyta; Magnoliopsida; Brassicales; Caricaceae.
AAUGGGCUGGGUGCUUGGUUGUAGGUCUAUAGUGAACUCAACUUCCCUGUCCACUGGUAGUCCGGGCAGUUCAUCCGAAAACACAUCUGAAAAGUCUCAGACUACCGGAAUCUCUUGGAUACAAAUUUCCUUAUUGGACUUGCCUAGUUAGAGAAAAUAGCAAGGUUAAAGUACUUGAAAAUUAAGAAAACUUGCCACCAAGGAAUAAAUAUCAAAUGAUUUUAUUAAUUUGUAAAUGGCUCAUCAUUAGGAGAAU